This 295-nucleotide unclassified non-coding RNA is filed under the name Hevea brasiliensis (rubber tree). The record is from RNAcentral. Lineage: Eukaryota; Viridiplantae; Streptophyta; Magnoliopsida; Malpighiales; Euphorbiaceae.
GGGGUCAGCAGAUCUUUUAUCAAGUUGAAUUGUGAUGGGGCAACCAAUUCAAGGAGUAAUUAGGGUGCGGUAACUGUCAUUCACGUAACCAUCAAGGCUACCCUCAAGGUUGGAUAUGCAAACUUUUCAAUCAUAUUACAAACCCUUUAGUUUUGGAAUCCCUGGCUUGCAGAGAAGCGAUACUCCUGGUGAGAGUAAAAGGCUUCACAAAUAUCAUUAUAGAAAGAGACUCUCAACUGGUUUUUAAGACUCUCAGCAAUAAUGUGAUUCCGGCCAGUAUCCAAGGCAUUAUCAC